UGCAAGUCGAACGAUGACUUCUGUGCUUGCACAGAAUGAUUAGUGGCGAACGGGUGAGUAACACGUGAGUAACCUGCCCUUGACUUCGGGAUAAGCCUGGGAAACCGGGUCUAAUACCGGAUACGACCUCCUGGCGCAUGCCAUGGGGGUGGAAAGCUUUAUGCGGUUUUGGAUGGACUCGCGGCCUAUCAGCUUGUUGGUUGGGGUAAUGGCCCACCAAGGCGACGACGGGUAGCCGGCCUGAGAGGGUGACCGGCCACACUGGGACUGAGACACGGCCCAGACUCCUACGGGAGGCAGCAGUGGGGAAUAUUGCACAAUGGGCGGAAGCCUGAUGCAGCGACGCCGCGUGAGGGAUGACGGCCUUCGGGUUGUAAACCUCUUUCAGCAGGGAAGAAGCGAAAGUGACGGUACCUGCAGAAGAAGCGCCGGCUAACUACGUGCCAGCAGCCGCGGUAAUACGUAGGGCGCAAGCGUUAUCCGGAAUUAUUGGGCGUAAAGAGCUCGUAGGCGGUUUGUCGCGUCUGCUGUGAAAGCCCGGGGCUCAACCCCGGGUCUGCAGUGGGUACGGGCAGACUAGAGUGCAGUAGGGGAGACUGGAAUUCCUGGUGUAGCGGUGAAAUGCGCAGAUAUCAGGAGGAACACCGAUGGCGAAGGCAGGUCUCUGGGCUGUAACUGACGCUGAGGAGCGAAAGCAUGGGGAGCGAACAGGAUUAGAUACCCUGGUAGUCCAUGCCGUAAACGUUGGGCACUAGGUGUGGGGGACAUUCCACGUUUUCCGCGCCGUAGCUAACGCAUUAAGUGCCCCGCCUGGGGAGUACGGCCGCAAGGCUAAAACUCAAAGGAAUUGACGGGGGCCCGCACAAGCGGCGGAGCAUGCGGAUUAAUUCGAUGCAACGCGAAGAACCUUACCAAGGC
RNAcentral lists this ribosomal RNA (918 nucleotides) under Arthrobacter koreensis. RNAcentral describes it as "bacterial SSU rRNA". It matches the Rfam family "Bacterial small subunit ribosomal RNA", at positions 56 to 980 of the family's 1533-position model. The record is from RNAcentral. Lineage: Bacteria; Bacillati; Actinomycetota; Actinomycetes; Micrococcales; Micrococcaceae.